UGUCUGUGAAGAUGCGGACUACCUGCACUUGGAUAGAAAGACCCUAUGAAGCUUCACUGUUCCCUGGGAUUGGCUUUAGGCCUUUCCUGCACAGCUUAGGUGGAAGGCGAAAAAGGCCCCCUUCCGCGGGGGGGGGGGGGGGGGGGGG
This 148-nucleotide non-coding RNA is filed under the name Ricinus communis (castor bean). RNAcentral's name for it is "Bacterial large subunit ribosomal RNA". It matches the Rfam family "Bacterial large subunit ribosomal RNA", at positions 2048 to 2192 of the family's 2925-position model. Lineage: Eukaryota; Viridiplantae; Streptophyta; Magnoliopsida; Malpighiales; Euphorbiaceae. The record is from Rfam by way of RNAcentral.